UUCUAGGCCUUGUUGAUGGAAACCGACAAGAGACCAAGGGAAACGAAGACCGAGAAGGAGACAGAAAAGGGGCUGGCUUUGGUUUGGUUUGGUUUGGAUAUUUGACCCAGUUUGUUUGAUAGCAGCUGGAAGAGGGGUUGUUUGAAUUGAACUCACAUUUGGGAAUACACGAUACUAUACCAUGGAUAGAUAGAUAAUAGAUAUGGCGCAUGGGGACCAAUCCAGAACAAGAAUAAAACCUUAUCCCUAAAGCCCCAAUACUUGCUGCUCUUUCUCCAUUCACUAAGCAGACUCGGAGAAAAGUUGCUGCAUGAAUCAAAACAACAACCUUAGAAGGAAAGAGUGAGAUUUAAUACUAUUGGCUUCUUCUCUGGGGUCCUCCUAAUAGCUUCAUACAUACAACACAGAAAAUACAGCGAACCCUAGAACCAUAUUUGUAAUAUGAAUCAACACUUCUGCUGCUGCUCUCGCUUUGCUUAGCUACAGUCAGAUCUAAAAGAGAAACGGAUGACUAACAAACAUCCCACCAAGGCGGGAGAGGGAAACCUGCGGAUACGUGGUAUGAAGGUGUGACGAAAACAAUAUUAGGAUGACAAGAAAGGUAGUUGCGUGAUGGGUUUCAUAGUUGUUUC
Molecule: long non-coding RNA, 632 nt
Filed under: Linum usitatissimum (flax)
Lineage: Eukaryota; Viridiplantae; Streptophyta; Magnoliopsida; Malpighiales; Linaceae
Description: long non-coding RNA (LUSI_LNC004065)
Source: RNAcentral